UGGGUAGUCCGCACGAGCGCACCCCUACAUUAGUUGCCAUCAGUUCGGCUGGGCACUCUAGUGGGACUGCCGGUGCUAAGCCGGAGGAAGGUGGGGAUGACGUCAAGUCCUCAUGGCCUUUAUGUCCAGGGCUACUCACGUGCUACAAUGGUCGGUACAGAGGGUCGCGAAGCCGCGAGGUGGAGCCAAUCCCACAAAGCCGAUCUCAGUUCGGAUUGGAGUCUGCAAUUCGACUCCAUGAAGGUGGAAUCGCUGGUAAUCGCGGAUCAGCAUGCCGCGGUGAAUACGUUCCCGGGCCUUGUACACACCGCCCGUCACAUCACGAAAGCUGGUUGAACCAGAAGCCGGUGACCCAACCUUCGGGAGGGAGCCGUCCAAGGUUUGGCUGGUGAUUGGGGUGAAGUCGUAACAAGGUAGCCGUAGGGGAACCUGCGGCUGGAUCACCUCCUUUCU
RNAcentral lists this ribosomal RNA (453 nucleotides) under uncultured marine bacterium 106. RNAcentral's name for it is "bacterial SSU rRNA". It matches the Rfam family "Bacterial small subunit ribosomal RNA", at positions 1077 to 1533 of the family's 1533-position model. The record is from RNAcentral.